GGUGGGCAGCUGAUGAAUCUCAUAUUUUUUAAUGGGUAAUUUGCGUCUGAAACUUUCAUUGAUGCUAUAUCACCUUGGAGAACUGAUGCCCACA
Mangifera indica (mango) is the source of this 94-nucleotide small nucleolar RNA. The record is from RefSeq and is a predicted model, not a curated record. Lineage: Eukaryota; Viridiplantae; Streptophyta; Magnoliopsida; Sapindales; Anacardiaceae.